RNAcentral lists this ribosomal RNA (918 nucleotides) under Acrospermum leucocephalum. RNAcentral's name for it is "SSU rRNA". It matches the Rfam family "Bacterial small subunit ribosomal RNA", at positions 352 to 1227 of the family's 1533-position model. Lineage: Eukaryota; Fungi; Ascomycota; Dothideomycetes; Acrospermales; Acrospermaceae. The record is from RNAcentral.
CAGUGAGGAAUAUUGGUCAAUGGCCUAUGGGCUGACCCAGCACCUUGGCGGAAUGAGGAUUUAAAGUAAAGGACUUUAAUUUCGGCUAAGUCGUAUAAAGUUCUAGAUAGUUACUGAUUGUGACAACUUCUAUCUAUAUGUCUUGACCAAAUCUUGUGCCAGCAGUCGCGGCAAGACAAGAGAGACUUGUGUUAUUCAUCUUUAUUAGGUUUAAAGGGUACCUAGACUGUUGUUAUUGCCUUACUGGUACGUAGACAACUAGAGUUUAAUAUAAAAAAAUUGAACAAUUGAAGGAAAGAUCGAAUGCGGUAAUAUCAAUUAGACAGGUAAUGGCGAAGGCUAUUUAUUAUGUAAAAACUGACGUUGAGGGACUAAGGCAACGAGUCACGAAAAGGAUUAAAGACCCUCCUAGUCUUUGCAKACAAUUAUGAGUGUUAUAGACUAUAAAUACAAUAGGAGUCUAUAAAUGAAAGUGUAAGCACUCCACCUCAAGAGUAAUGUGGCAACACAGGAACUGAAAUCAUUAGACCGUUUCUGAAACCAGUAGUGAARUAUGUUAUUUAAUUCGAUGAUCCUCGAAUAACCUUACCACAAUUUGUAUAGUUAAAUGUAAUAUAAUAUAUAUAAUANAGAUAUAUAUUAUAAAAAUUUAUACAAGCGUUGCACGGCUGUCUUCAGUUAAUGUUGUGAAAGUUGGUUAGAUCCAGUGAAUUAGCGUAAACCCUUGCUUUAUUUAUUAUCAUAAAGUAGAUCACCAUUACAAUGGUAAAGAGUAUAAUAUUAGACAACAACGUUUUAUAGGAGCAUUGUUGCGUGUAUAUCUUACACAAAUAUGUUAUUUAAUAUAUACAAUUAUAUGGAUAAAAGGGACUAAGACAAGUCAUCAUGACCUAAAUAUUGUGGGCUAUAGACGUGCCA